Molecule: unclassified non-coding RNA, 236 nt
Filed under: Hevea brasiliensis (rubber tree)
Lineage: Eukaryota; Viridiplantae; Streptophyta; Magnoliopsida; Malpighiales; Euphorbiaceae
Source: RNAcentral
UUUAAGUCUAUCUUUAGUCUAAUGUGCAUCACAAAGUAGGUAACAUUAAUUCUUCCUGCUCUGCAACAUAGAAGUUUGGUUGGUUAAAUAAAAUCCCAGCAUAUCGUUUGCUAUUUGUUUCUUUAGUAUGAACCACUCCUCUCUCUCUUACCAGUUUGUAGGAAGUUACUUGCAAUGAUUGUUUGGGUAUUGUGGAGUAAAUUUGCAUUGAUUAUUUUCUAGAUAUCUUGUAUCUG